UACGGGGGGGGCAAGCGUUGUUCGGAAUUACUGGGCGUAAAGGGCUCGUAGGUGGCCAACUAAGUCAGACGUGAGAUCCCUCGGCUUAACCGGGGAACUGCGUCUGAUACUGGAUGGCUUGAGUUUGGGAGAGGGACGCGGAAUUCCAGGUGUAGCGGUGAAAUGCGUAGAUAUCUGGAGGAACACCGGUGGCGAAGGCGGCGUCCUGGACCAACACUGACACUGAGGAGCGAAAGCCAGGGGAGCAAACGGG
Molecule: ribosomal RNA, 253 nt
Filed under: uncultured bacterium
Lineage: Bacteria
Description: partial 16S ribosomal RNA
Rfam family: Bacterial small subunit ribosomal RNA
Source: RNAcentral